UACGGAAGGCCAGCAGUGGGGAAUAUUGCACAAUGGGCGCAAGCCUGAUGCAGCCAUGCCGCGUGUAUGAAGAAGGCCUUCGGGUUGUAAAGUACUUUCAGUCGUGAGGAAGGUGUUAAGGUUAAUAACCUUAGCAAUUGACGUUAGCGACAGAAGAAGCACCGGCUAACUCCGUGCCAGCAGCCGCGGUAAUACGGAGGGUGCGAGCGUUAAUCGGAAUUACUGGGCGUAAAGGGCACGCAGGCGGUUAAUUAAGUUGGAUGUGAAAUCCCCGGGCUUAACCUGGGAAUGGCAUUCAAGACUGGUUAGCUAGAGUCUUGUAGAGGGGGUAGAAUUCCAUGUGUAGCGGUGAAAUGCGUAGAGAUGUGGAGGAAUACCGGUGGCGAAGGCGGCCCCUGGACAAAGGCUGACGCUCAUGUGCGAAAGCGUGGGGAGCAAACAGGGAUUAGAUACC
RNAcentral lists this ribosomal RNA (454 nucleotides) under uncultured bacterium. Its description in RNAcentral is "bacterial SSU rRNA". It matches the Rfam family "Bacterial small subunit ribosomal RNA", at positions 340 to 786 of the family's 1533-position model. The record is from RNAcentral.